Long non-coding RNA from Mytilus californianus (California mussel), 3553 nucleotides. RefSeq lists it as uncharacterized. The record is from RefSeq and is a predicted model, not a curated record. NCBI's taxonomy places the organism in Eukaryota, Metazoa, Mollusca, Bivalvia, Mytilida, Mytilidae. The transcript is spliced from 7 exons.
AUCAUCGGCUCACUUUAUAGAACCUACAAAUUGAUUGGUUAUGAAAUGAAGAGAUGUGAGACAUUACUAUCCUACAGAGACCAAAUGAUGUUGAUGUAAAAUAGGUUACUGUAUGGACUUCAACAAUGAGAAAAUCAACCAACAUUAAGAUUUUGCAAUAUUCUGAAUUAGAAUGACUUUGUUUAUACCUCUAACCUUUAACAUCUGAUAUUUUUAUUAUCUAGAGCUCUGUAAAAAAAAAUAUCAAAAAAAUAUAAAAAAAGAAAAUACCAAAAAAUAAUAUAUGAAAACAAAAUCCUUUGUAAACAGAGUUCUAGAUAAUAAACAUUGAGGGUGGUGUAAAAGGUGGGAUUAUUGUAAUAUUUUUUAUGACCCCCACCUUAAAGUCUUCUAAAGUUAUCAUUUUUAAAACAAACAAAAAUUGCAAUGGCAAUUUAAAAAGUAUAUAGUUCCUACAUGUAGGGACAGUGCCACUCUGCACGUUAAAGAACCCUUGCCACAAGUCUUUAAGGGGUCAGUAGGUGGCCUGUUGCAAGGCUUAAUUUCUGUCCAACAUAUCCUCCUCUCAGUUGGCAGUCAAAAUUUCCCCUACCUUCAUCAUCGGCCCACUUUAUAGAACCUACAAAUUGAUUUGUUAUGAAAUGAAGAGAUGCGAGACAACUAUCCUACAGAGACCAAAUGAAAUUGCAUGUUACUGUAUGGACUUCAACAAUGAGAAAAUCAACUAACAUUAAAAUUUUGCAAUAUUCUGAAUUAGAAUGACUUUGUUAAUACCUCUAACCUUUAACAUCUGAUAUUUUUAUUAUCUAGAGCUCUGUAAAAAAAAUAUAAAAAAAAAUAUAAAAAAAGAAAUAAAAAAAGAAAAUACCAAAAAAUAAUAUAUGAAAACAAAAUCGUUUGUAAACAGAGUUCUAGAUAAUAAACAUUGAGGGUGGUGUAAAAGGUAGGAUUAUUGUAAUAUUUUUUAUGACCCCCACCUUAAAGUCUUCUUAUGUUAUCAUGUUUAAAUCAAACAAAAAUUGCAAUGGCAAUUUAAAAAGUAUAGUUCCUAUGUGUAGGGACAGUGCCAUUAUGUACGUUAAAGAACUGUUGUCACAAGUCUUUGAGGGGUCAGUAGGUGGCCUGUUGCAAGGCUUAAUUUCUGUCCAACAUAUCCUCCUCUCAGUAGGCAGUCAAAAUUUCCCCUACGUUCAUCAUCGGCCCACUUUAUAGAACCUACAAAUUGAUUUGUUAUGAAAUAAGGAGAUGCGAGACAACUAUCCUACAGAGACCAAAUGAAAGUGUAUGUUACUGUAUGGACUUCAACAAUGAGAAAAUCAACUAACACUAAAAUUUUGCAAUAUUCUGAAUAAUAAUGACUUUGUUAAUACCUCUAACCUUUAACAUCUGAUAUUUUUAUUAUCUAGAGCUCUGUAAAAAAAAUAUAAAAAAAAAUAUAAAAAAAGAAAUAAAAAAAGAAAAUACCAAAAAAUAAUAUAUGAAAACAAAAUCGUUUGUAAACAGAGUUCUAGAUAAUAAACAUUGAGGGUGGUGUAAAAGGUGGGAUUAUUGUAAUAUUUUUUAUGACCCCCACCUUAAAGUCUUCUUAUGUUAUCAUGUUUAAAACAAACAAAAAUUGCAAUGGCAAUUUAAAAAGUAUAGUUCCUAUGUGUAGGGACAGUGCCACUAUGUACUUUAAAGGACCCUUGCCACAAGUCUUUGAGGGGUCAGUAGGUGGCCUGUUGCAAGUCUUAAUUUCUGCCCAACAUAUCCUCCUCUCAGUUGGCAGUCAAAAUUUCCCUUACCUUCAUCAUCGGCCCACUUUAUAGAACCUACAAAUUGAUUGGUUAUGAAAUGAAGAGAUGUGAGACAACAGUCCUACAGAGACUAAAUGAUGUUGAUGUAAAAUAGGUUACUGUAUGGACUUCAACAAUGAGAAAAUCAACCAACAUUAAAAUUUUGCAAUAUUCUGAUUUAGAAAGACUUUGCCUCUAACCUUUAAAAUCUGAUAUUUUUAUUAUUUAGAGCUCUGUAAAAAAUAUAAAAAAAGAAAAUACCAAAAAAUAAUAUGAAAACAAAAUCGUUUGUAAACAGAGUUCUAGAUAAUAAACAUUGAGGAUGUUGUAAAAAGUAGGCAUAUUUAAAAUUUUGUUUAUUAUUAUGAAUAGUGCACUGUAUAAUUUGUAAAAAUGUUUAUUUUGAAGUCUUGGAAAAUUGUGAAACUUUAGAACUGUGUUUAUUUGAGAUGUCUUUAUUCAGUCUUCAAUGAUUGUCAUGGCAAUUGAGGACAAUAGAAUAUAGCUCUGUGUAGAAACUGACUUUUUUAUAUCAAGAAAGAUCCAACAAAAGUUUUCAAUGAUAUCUAGAGACGAAAGACAGAAAUACUAAAAGGUUUUCUAUGAGAUUGGUGGAUUAUGUACAGUCAGACAACUGGCACACUCAAGAUAAAAGUUAAAUAGCUAUUAAAAUAAAAUUAUGGACUUGUAUAAUAACAUUAAUGAAGACAGAUGUUCUAUAGUGAAGACAUGUUCCUACAUAAUGUUCUAUAGUGAAGACAUGUUCCUACAUAAUGUUCUAUAGUGAAGACAUGUUCCUACAUAAUGUUCUAUAGUGAAGACAUGUUCAUACAUAAUGUUCUAUAGUGAAGACAUGUUCAUACAUAAUGUUCUAUAGUGAAGACCUGUUCCUACAUAAUGUCUUAUAGUGAAGACGUAUUCCUACAUAUUGUUCUAUAGUGAAGACAUGUUCCUACAUAAUGUUCUAUAGAGAAGACAUGUUCCUACAUAAUGUUCUAUAGUGAAGACAGAUGUUCUAUAGCACAAACAGAUGUUCCUAAGUUGCAAUGAAGUAUUCAGAAGACAGACAGACAGUUUCCUUUUGCAAUGAAAUUAUCCAGAACACAUAGUUGAUUAGAUUUCCAGUUCAUUACAUAUUCUGACGUUUUCUCAAGAAAAACACAAGAUUUCAAUGUUCAAUGAAAGGAGAAAUUCUUAAAAUUUAUGCUGGACAUCUCAUAUCAAGGAUCCAUCACAAUAUUGAUAUUAGACUUAUGAAGAAUAUUCUGAUAAAUUAAUGAUGUACGACAAAUCGUGCUACAAGUAUCAUACCAGCAAAAUUAUUUGAUGGGAGUAAAACAUAGGAGCAGGAUCUCACCUCAUACAAGUGAGGAGGAACAAUUGAACUGAUGAGCUUGGAAACAUCUGAAAGGUAUACAUAAGAAAAACAGACUACCUAGAAUAAGAAAAGAGAAAGAUUAACUCAUAGAGUAAAGGGUAAAAACAGACCACCUAGAAUAAGAAAAGAGAAAGAUUAACUCAUAGAGUAAAGGGUAAAAACAGACCACCUAGAAUAAGAAAAGAGAAAGAUUAACUCAUAGAGUAAAGGGUAAAAACAGACCACCUAGAAUAAGGAAAGAGAAAGAUUAACUCAUAGAGUAAAGGGUAAAAACAGACCACCUAGAAUAAGAAAAGAGAAAGAUUAACUCAUAGAGUAAAGGGUAAAAACAGACCACCUAGAAUAAGAAAAGAGAAAGAUUAACUCAUAGAGUAAAGGGUAAAAACAGACCACCUAGAAU